Non-coding RNA from Monodelphis domestica (gray short-tailed opossum), 28176 nucleotides. Lineage: Eukaryota; Metazoa; Chordata; Mammalia; Didelphimorphia; Didelphidae. The record is from RefSeq and is a predicted model, not a curated record.
UGUAAGGCUCUUAUCUGCCUAAAAUUCAACUUUAAAAGAAAAGGAUCUCUUAAAGGGAAACGACUUUUGGCUCACGUAUGCAUACGAGAAUGAAACUUCUGUACGUUAUAAUCUGAUUAAUUCUUAAGGAUUUAAAAUUAAUUGGCUUGGGCAUUGCUGAACUGGACCAUACGAUUUUAACCUCUGCGUUCACCACGCCAAUGCUGAAUAGGUUUUUUUUUUUUUUGGACUGGGUUUGUAUGCCUCCCACCCCCACCCCCUUUUCUCUCUUUCUUUCUCUCUCUCUCUUUCACUCUCCCUCUCUCUUUUUAAAACGAACCGUUCCUUGAAUGUUUUGUUCAGAGCAGCACAUUGCUUCUUUAAGUCAGAUCUGCGCGGUUGCAAUAAAGAGCAAAAAAGAUAAAUAUUUGUUUUAAAGCUGCAAGCAAACUUCACCACACCUCCCGAUGAUAAGAAAACCACAAAGAAAUUAAGUGGCUUGUUCAAGGUCACACAGCUAUGAAUAUGAGGUUGGAUUGAAACUCAGAUCUUCUUGCUCCAGAUUCAAACCACCUUGUCCUCAAAUUUAAGUAUUCAAGACCUCUUUGAAAUCAGCUGGUUUGAAAUAAGUGUGGGUAAGAGAAAGAGAGAAUUUGAAAAGAAAAAAAGAUCUAGUAGGUACUCUUUAAAUUGAAUGCUUGAAAACCAUAUUGAGGUAUAGUCACUACGUUAAAUCAAAUGCAUUCAAAUCCAAAUGUGAAUAUAAACUGUUCACGGGAUGCAGAGAAGCCCUGUUUUAGGUGCUGGGGGUAAUAAAAUGUUUAGAUAAGAUAUAUUUAUUGUCUUUAGAGAGAUCAUGGUUGACUAUGGAGACAAGACCUCAAUAUAAGUAGCUAUGAUUACAGUAAAGAGUUACAACACAGUACUAUAUGAAUUUUUAAAAAAAGGAAGGUCACAUUCAUUACAAUGGAUGAUCAAGAAUUACUUGAUAAGUAGGCUUAUUGAAUUAUAUACUCACAGAGUUUUAGAGCUGGAAGGGAACUUAAAAGUCAUCUUGUGUUAGUCUGUAAGGGUCAAACAACUCUAGGCUUUUUAAGUACCCCAAAAUCUUUUUGACAAUAACAUAUAAGAUAGAAAAAAAUCACCAAAACAAAUUCAUUAUCCCUACAUUAAAAACUGACAAUCAACUAUCAUAUAUUACAGAGGCUAAAUAUUCUAGAGUGGCUAUCCUACUUUAUCCUACAUCAUCAAAAUAUUUAAAAACAAUCACAUUGUACAAAUACUGAGAAUUAACUAGCAUAUGCUAUUAAAUAUUAGACUAAAUGUUUUAUAGUAACUAUAGAUAGGUAAUGAUCUGAGGAUCAGGCCCAUUUUAUAGAAUAAGAGUGGAAUAUCCUAAUAAAUAGUAAUACAUAUUGUUUUAUACCUGUAUAUAUCCAAGAAAAUAUUUUAUCUGCAUGUAUCACCUCUAAUUAUCAUUGGGGAGAACUCUGGUCUUCAAGUGUUCAGAAAAAUACAUUCCACUAUCAUUACAGAUUCAUAAAAUCUUGGAAUGAGAUUCUAGAUGACCUAGUUGUCUCUCCCAAUACUUUAAUAAUCCCUUUAGCCACAUCUUUGAAAGACAGUGAUCCUUCCUAAUAUCAAAUGCUUUCCCCAAGGGACUCUUCUCUCUCAGUGAACAGACCAUCCACUGUUGAGCAGCUUUCAUUCUUAGCAAGUUAUUCCCCACACUGAACCUAACAGUUUUCUACACUGGUUCUAUUUCUACUUUCAGAAAUUAUAUAAAUCCCAAUGAAUUUCCCUCUAUUGGAUGACAGCUCUUCAAAAACUUAAAGCACUGUCUCUUCUGUUUGCUACUGUUUCUGAGCUGUCCACAACUCUCUGCUGGAUCAUUUGAAUUUGGAUUAUAGUACAUCUUGCAUCAUUUCUUCUGACCACCCUGCUUGCUGCUGUCCCACUUGAAUUCUCAAUAUUGCAGCUGCCUGUGUAUCCUACUGUAUGGCAUGAAGAAGUAAAUUGGAGCUCGAGAAACAGAUGUACUGAAGUGCUUCAAGAAGAUAUACCACAAAUAAUAGCUUACAACUCACCUCUAUCAGAUCAUUCUGUACUUAAAUGGAAAUCAUCUGGACCAAGUGAUGAUAAUAAUUAUCAAGGACAGAGAUUCUAUUUGAAGGAGGGAUGUUGUAGCCUCUACUCAAGCCCAUGUCGCAAUGCCAACUGUUGGAGAGCCAUUAGUAAAAUUCAAGGUCAGUUGGAAUUUUGGUCAUCCCCACUGUCUAGCAGCAGCAUGUCGUGAUGGACAAAGAGCUGUCUUUAGACUCAGAAAGACAUGGGUUCAAGUGAUUCCCCUCACACAUCCUGAAUUUCUGAUCCCAGGUAAUUCACUUAACUUUUUACUAUUUCAAGAAGCUCUCUAAGACUUUCAUAGAUAGAGAAGGUACAGAUCUCUGUUGGUUAAAGAAGUUUCUCUCUCAGAGCUCUCUACACUGAUGAUGUCAUCAAUCUGGUCCAAACCUCCUACCCACAAGUACUACUCUCUUUAAUCUCUUCCUUUAACUGCUGUUUUAACAUAUUUUUACAACUUGGUCAUUUAUAAAUAAUUACUUCUAAGAUAAAACUUUGCUUGCAAAAGGAAUUGAUACAGCUAAUGCAUAAAGAUGAAUAAGCAUGGGCAACUACUCAAUGAUCUCUCAUAAAUGUUUUUUGGAGGAGUUCAGUAUUUAAAAUGUAUUUAUUUUUGCCAUUAUAAUUAUUAAUAUUAUUAUUAUUUAGAUUGUCAUAUAAAUGUGUAAAGUGAUUUAUAGUUAUUAAUUUUCCUUUCAAAUUCUACAAAGGAGGGAUGCAACUGUUGAAUUGUCCCCCCCCCCUCUCUGUUUUUCAAUAGAUAUUUAAGUUGAAACUCAAACUGAUUCUGUUUUCCCUCUCAGAGGUUAACUAAGCAAGUCAGUGAGAGGAAAAACUUAAAGCUCACAGUUCUGGGCUCCUUUGUACAUAAUUCAUUGAUGAGGUCACUGGCUUACACUUUUCUGCAUGAGCUGAGAUUCUAAGUCAAAUCCUUAAAAGUAUUUUAUUCUUAUAUCUAUUUUCUUCCGUAAAGUCCUGCUCCAAUGACUUGCUAUAGAAUUGAGGUAACACUGAGUUCUCAGAGCCUAUUCCUUUGGAACGUAAGCAGAUUUUACUGUAGUAAAAAAGCUUUAGGUAUAUGUCCUGGCUGUGUCUACUUUCCCAGGACCAGUCUAGUUAUAAAUGGAGAGUCUCAACCCAAACUAAGUAAAGUAAUCUACUUGGUGAUGGACCAAUUCUUUGACUUUCGCAGCCUAAAUAAAAAAGGGAAGCACAAAAAUCAUCCUCUGUAUUGUUAUAACACCCUUCCUCUUCUGCAGAGAUGGUGACAAAGUAGCAAUGGCAGAAAUGUUCCCAGAGGGAACAUAGAAUCAUGAAGUUUUAAAGCCACCUCUAAAUAUUAACCUACUCAAUACUAUGUAUGUGAUACCCUCAUCCAAAGACCAACCACAUAUACUCCUAGGGGAAAGAAUUGAUAAACAUCUGCAAUAGAUAUGAUACUAGAGGUAUUGAAGUGUAAAAAUCUCACUAUUUUAAGCACAAAUUAAAUUUGAAGACAAAAAAGAAGUUGCCACUAACUGGAAAGAUAGCUAGCAGGUUCUCUUUAGAGAGGAGAAUGAAAUUCCUUUCACAUCGAGUCCACUGUUAACAAGAAACACUAUUUCAUGGAGCAUCUCACCACCUUGGGUGACAAUGCUCAUGAUAAUUAUCUACAGAAAGACCACCAGGAAAAUAAUUGAAAUUUAUAUAGCAAUAUUUAUUGUAGAGAAUGAAAAAUUAAAAUCUAUAAAGAACUUAAUGAAACCUAGCAAAUUAAAUCAACUUAUACUUUGAUACCAUAAGUGACCAUAAGGUGUGGUAACUAGAUAACUGGACUUAUAGUUUAGAAGACCUGAGUUCAAAUCCUGACUCUGAUACCCCUAGGCAAGCCAUUUAAUUUCUCAGUGCCCCAGGCAGCUCUCUAAGACUAUAAGUUUCAAAGAAAGUACUGAUCUUCAUCGAUAGAGACUGCUUCCUUACUGAGAGUUCUCUUUGCCAAUGAAAUCAUAGAUAACUACAAUUUCAUUAUAUAUAUUGAUAUUAAAUAAACUUCAAUGCAAAGUUGGGCAUAAGUAAAGUUAGCAGAAAGAAUAUUGGCAAAUAUGUUUCAAGAGUCAGGAAUAAGGGAGACCAAGCAUAUCACAUUGAUAAACUAUUAAAAAAAAGAAUCAGGCAUACAUAAAAAUGUAAAAUUACAUCAGACAAGUGGUUGUAUUUUAACAGAUAAGAAAUAAAUUAUUAUUGAUGUGGGUGUAAUUAUGAAUCAGCUAUUUGUGUACAGUUGAGCCAUCAGUUUAUUAGAGCAAAGAUUAGCAGUAACACAGAAAUGGAAGUAAGAAUAAAAAUAUAAAAUAUAUGAUAAAUAUUUAAAACAACCAUAACCAGAAAUAUUUAAAUAUUACACAUGCUGAAAAAUGGGAAAUGGUUAAAGGAAAGGACAUUGACACUAAUUAUUACAAAUUCUAACAGAUGUUUAACAUAUAUAAAAUGGUCUUGACAUCAUGUAAACAUGGGUUACAAUCCCAUAUUUGAUGUAUAACAAUAGCUUGUUCUUGGGCAAGUUAUAAUAUCACAGUACCCUAGGCAAUUUUCUGAGGUUAUAAAUCACAAAAUAGUUACCUAUUACAUUGGUAGAGGCAGUUGCUACUACUAAUAAAAAAUAAUGAUAAUAGUAGCUAGCAUGUAUAAAACAUUAGAAUAUUUGUAAAUCCCUGUAUAUAUGUCAUCCUGUUUCCCCAUGGGGGUUUUCCUAUGCCAUUUCCAGUCCAAGUUCCCUACAUAGUUAAUUUUCAUAAUUUAUGAAAUAAAAAAAAUGUAUACCUCACCUUAGUCAACAAAUACCUUAUUUAUUUGACAAGAGGAGAAACCUUGUAGCCAAUAGGAGCUUCAGUUUCAAAUAUAAACUAAUUUGUAAAGUCUUACAGAGUAGAAUGGUGGAAAUUUGUGAGUAGUAUUUCCUCAUAAAAGAGAGAAUUAAGGAGAAAGGAAAACAAUAUAGAGAAAGCUUGGUGAGUGAUCCAACUAAGCAAAAUCAUCCUGAGGGCAUUUAAGUAUGAAACUUGGAGGAAAACAGAUGAAAGAUAAAAAUCUAUAUGUAUUUUUUCAAUGAUUUUUCAUAAGAAACUUUUUUUUUACCAUCAAGAAUAGCAAUGAUAGUUUUAUCACACAAUCUCAGUUGUGCAUGAAGAAGAAAUGACUUUGAAGAAAAUAAAGAUGGGAACAGUAGCUUUACUAGUCUAAGAAUACAACAGAGAGGUUUGUGCUAUAGAACACACAAGUUUGAGGGAGUUAAAGAAGUGGUUCUUGACACAUCUAAAGGAUGCUAAAGGAACAGGGAGAAUCUUAAACCAUAUUAUUAUCCCAAAGAAUAGACUCAGGGAAUUUCAAUUAUUCACUCAAAUGGUAACUUUAAUAAAAUUGUAAAAAAACUGAGAAUGAUCUCCCUGUGAAAUGAAGGUAUACAAUAUCCUAGAUCAGGGAACUUGCAAGAAAUAAAACAUGUUUUGCAAGUAACAUUCCAUUAUAGAACCCAUGGUUGACUAUAAUUUGUAUAAUCUGAUCACUCUAAGAAUUUUGGGGGUUAUCUAUAAAAAAGCAUUCUAUUCAAUAGAUCUUAUUCCACAAGGUGUUUUGUAUGAAGACAACAAAAUUAUGCAAGCUUCCUUGAAAAAUAUGUCAGUCAACAAAUAUUUCUUAAAUACCUACAUAUAAAGUAUAUACAGAGUAGAUGAAAAGUAAUCUAAGAGGGAAGACAUUGGAGGAAGAAAGGGCAUAACAAAGAUGUCUUGCAGAAGGUGAGUUAUGAGAUAUGAUUUGAGGGAAACCAGAGAAAUGAGGAGUUGAAAAAAGGAGAACUUUUGAAGUAUGAAGACAACCAGUGAAAAGGGCAUGGAGAUACUCAGAUUGAGGAAUAGAAAGAAAGCCAGAGUUGAUGGAGUGUAGAAAACACAGAGGCAAAUAAAGUUUAAAAAGACAAAAAGGUAAGAAAUGGCUAGGUUGUAAAGAGCUUUUAAAGACAGAAAAAUUUCUAUUUGAUGCUAGAGAUAAUUGGGAGCCAAUGGAUUUUAUUGAGUAGGGGAGGUGAUGGUCAAUUCUGUGCUUCAGGAAGACCAGUUUGGCAGCUGAGUGGAGAAUAGAUUAGAGUGGAGAGAGGUUUGUGGCAGAGAGACCAAAAACCAAUAGGCUAUUGCAGUAAUCCAAACAUAAAGUAUUGAGGGCCUUCACCAGUGUGGCAGCUAAACUAAGAGAGGGGGAUUUUUAUGAGGGAUAUUACAGAGGUAGAAAUGAAAAGCCUGGGCAACAGAUUGAAAAUGAAUGAUAUGAAUGGAAAAUGAUCAAUUUCUUCUAAUGACCCCAAAUUUUCCCUUGAAAGAAAGAUGAUCUCCCCCCCCCCCUAAAUCCUCAUUUUCUGUUUUAGAAUUGAUUCUAAGUAUCUAUUCCAAGGCAGAACAGUAAGGGCUAGGCAUCUGGGGUUAAGUGAUUUACCCAGGUUCACAAAGGAAGUAUUUAAGGUCAAACUUGAACCCAGGACCUCCUAUCUCCAGGCUGGGGCUCUAGUCUCUGAGCCAGCUAGCUACCCCAAGGACUUGUCUUUUUUAAAAUGUCAAGAGUCUUUUAGAGAUAUUGUAUGGUUAUGAGUCAUUGAAUAUUAUGACUAAAGAACUGAAGUUGAUGAUCACAUAAAGAAAAAUUAAGAGGCAUCUUGUGGACAUGAACAGGCCAUAAAGCAUUAUAGACAAAAAAUUACAAAGGAAGAGCUAUACAAAUGAUAUCAUCAAAGAAAUUCAUGAAGGAAAUGGAAAAUGGGCAAGGGUGAGGGAUAAUCAAUAGGAAGUUUGCACAUUCCAUCGGUUUUCCUGCAAUGUGAGAACUAAAGAAAGACCACUAGCAUGAUGGGUAGAUACUCUCCCGAAAACUUAUGAGAAAGCAUAGAUGAGUCUCAAAGAAAGGAGAAAUAUGCCUGUUUUUUUAUUUAAUUAUAGAAGGAAAUAACCAUAUUCUUGAGAACAUGGAUUCAUUUGAGUAUUUGAGAUUUGUUUUUACUAUUUCCUUUCAAUCCCAACAUGUCUAGUUCUAUUUCCAAUCGACAAUGAAGUGAACAAACCUUAUUCUUUACUUGAUGAGAAUUGACUGUACUGAUCUAUACAGAAUACAUGUUAUUCCAAUUAAUUCACAGAGGCAUGAAAAAGAAUAUACACUAUGAGUUGAUGUAAGGAAAUGCAGAUUUAUUUUAUGACAAAUUCAUGGCUAAUUAAAAUAGGAUUUUUAAAACAAAGUGUUUCUAUCUUAUUCUCAUGUUUUGGAAUAUUAUUCUACAGCAUGGUAUUGGUUUUGGUUGGAAAUGUCUUCUUAAUAAUCCUAAAGAGUGAUUCAUAGGUAUUUAUGUGUGUAAUACUUCUCAGACACAAGUGGUAAUUUCUUGCAUGAAUUCCUCAGUGUUUCAGUGGGAGAAAAGAAUGAUUUCUCUUUUAAAAAAUGAAUUUUAAAGUCCCCCUUUGAGUACUGUAAAGCCAUUCAUAGCUUCUUAAAGUUAUAAAAUAUCAUUAUUUAUAUGAUAACUUGCCCUUAUAAAUAGGUUGCAUUAUAAUGUAUAGUUCAGUUAAUUCUGACAAGAGUUUCAGUUUAAAGGUGAGAGAGCAUGUUUGAUUUUAGUUCCAGAUGUGUCAUUUCUUUUGAGAAGCAUGAAGUGACAAAGAAGUGAAGAUGAAGAAUAGCUAAAUCAGAAGUAAAAUAAUAAGAAUAUUUUGAGAGUUAGGUUGGCAUUUAGAUGGCAACAAGAAAAAAUUAACUCUACAAAGUUAAAAGUGAGAAAAGUAAAUAAACAACUCAUUCAAUGAAGGGGAAAAACAGUGGUUUAUUUGACUCUUUAAUAGUUCAUGUUUCUAUAAAAAGUCUUAAAAUCUCAUCUGAUCCUCACUACAACUCUGUGAAAUAAUUAGUGUAAUUGUUAUCAUCCUCAUUUUAUAUGAGGCUAUAUUAUCUGUCCAGAUGAGAAGAUAGGAAUAGAGAAAUUAAUAUCUAAGAAUGUAUAUUAAGAAGUGGCAAAGUUAGGACUUACACCUCAGGCCAUUCUGAGUCCUAGCACACUCCAUUAUAGUACAUUUCUUCCUUUGGUCUCAGUAGGGGAAUUAGGGAUUAAUAAUUUUGAAUUUAUGCAUAAUAUGUGAUAUUUGUGUGUGUCUGUGAGAAAAGAAAACCAAUAGCAUCUGAAAGUUAAAACAAAGUGAAAGGCCAUUUUCACAUUAGGAAUUUUAAAAUCUUUUCAUAAAGUUUUGCUGAAUUCUAUUUUAUGUAUUUUGGAAGAUUUGAGAUCUAGAACAAAAUAUCACCUGGAUCAUGGUUUAUAUAUGUUGAACAGACAAUAAGCUCACUAUGAUCCUUUGUCCCCAAAGAGGGUGCUACUAACUAGUAAUAAUUCAAGCACAUUAUUUUUGAAACACUGAUUCCAAUAGUUACUUAGUUUUUUCCCCUAUUUACAAAAGAAGCAAUUCAUUUUGUAGGACAUUUCGAAGUGGCAAAUGGAGGUGUGCAAAAGGUAUUGCAAAACUUAAUAUUUAGGAAAGAGGGAAACAAAAAGAAAUAAUAUUCAUAUGUCCGGGAGGUUUUUAAACUAUAUACCAUUAUGUACCUUUUCAUGGUUUGCAUAAAAUUUUGAAAGUACAAGGCUGAAUAAAUUUGUGAAUGUAUUACAAAGGGAAAAGAAUUGAUUCCAAAUUACAAUGAAAUUUCACUUAUUGUUUGAGUAUAUGUGGAAUGAUAAUGCCACUCUUACCUAUGAGAAUAGAGAAUGUGAUCUCAUUCUUCUUAAGCCAAAAUGAAAGCCCCUAGUGACUAAUGGGAGGUACACUCCAAAAAACCUUUCCCCCUUUCCCAAAACUUACUGUAAAAUGGUGGAAAUAGGUAAAGUCUUAAGGCCAAAAUUUCCUUUUGUGUGCCAAGCAUAUAUCAAAAUGUAUUUUAAAAUAUAUUAAGCCUCAUGGGAUAAAGUAUUUAUACCAUAUAUCAUUCAAUCAUUCUUUUUUUUUUCUUAUUUAAUUAAUAGAUGAAUAGACACAGAGAAAUUUAGGGCUCAAUGCUAUCUCUAGAGAUCUUCCAGUACAGUGUUAUCAAACUCAAAUAGAAAGUGAUCCCUGUGGGCUGCAUAUUGCCUUAGAAAACCACAAAUUAGCAUUAUCUGUGCUGAGUUGUAUUUUUAUUUGUUUCACCAAGAAUGUUACAUUUGCAUUUUAUUUUGAUUUAGGCCAUGGUCCAGAGAUCAAAUUUGACAUCUAGGUUUGGGGCCAUCCCAGCACUUUCAGAUAGGUUCAAUUAAAAAAUGUUAAGGUAAAUUUGAAGGUAUCAUAGUGUUAAAUUUUUAUUGGUUAUGCUGAAUAUUUAAAUUGGUGGUUGGCAGGGAUUUUAUUACUAAAUUCCAAAAUGAGUUAUUCAAGUAAAAUGGAAUUUAUGGUAGUUUUAUUUAAAAUAGAGGGAAGAUAUUAAGGAAUGAGAGAGAGAGAGAGAAAACUUCAGAUUCCUCUGAGCCAGGUAGAGAUUCUAAGGCCCUACUCAGGGAAAAGGAGUCUCAAGAUGAUGGGCUUUUUUCAGAGGGUCACACCUCCAGAAAGGCAAGGAAACUAAGUCAGCCUUUCACUUACCACUGUGAUUAUCUAAAAGGAAAACAUUCUGAGGUCUCCUGCAUGAACUCCUCCAGUGUCAAGUUCCAUAGCCAAGUCUGAGUGUCUGUCUUCCAGUCUCUCCUCAAGUAUCUGUCUUCCCUUCAGCUCCGAGGGACUAACCCUUCACUCCAAGCCCAGGUGACUAAUUCUGCAGUCUGUUUGUCUUAAUGAGAAUGCAUAAAUGACAAUGAGCAUUUUUGAUGCUAUUAUGUGUUGAUCAUAUCUAUAAAAUGCUCUGAGAUGUCUUCCUAGUGUACAGAAUUUCUUACAUUUUAUAAAUAAUGCUUCUUUGUUAACUAGGAGAGUAGACUGAUUUCAUUCUUCUUAAAUUAACCAAAAAUGAGAGUACUUAACACCUGUCUCUAUAAGAAUUUUUGUUAGUUUCAUCCAUUCUUUUAAUUUUUCAAAGUUUUAACUUCAACUAAAAAUAAAAAAAAAAUUAAGUUGAAAUUAAAACCCAAGAGACAUCAUCUUCAUUGGCAAGAAGAAAGGACCUGUAGGCCUUAUCCUAAUAAGUAAGCCACUAGCUGGUAUGCUACUUAGUAAAUGACUGAUGCAAUAAAUGAUGGUCUAGGGAUCUUUAAGAAUGAGUGCUCCUUCAGAAUUCCUGGGUCACCUGGAUUAAUGACUUGACAAUUUCUUUUAUUCUAUGGCAAUGUAUUUCAGUGGUAAGCAUACUAUCAAUAUCUACUUUUAAUCUUUGUUAUGUUUCAAAUUUUUAUCUUGCUUUCCAUAUCCAUAAAAAUAAUCCUGGGACAGAUAUCAGGCACCCCAAUUGAUUCACUCUAAGAGUUGGGGUUUGUUCAAAGAAUAUUGGUAGACAAUUGUCAGCUGUUAAACAGCUUAAAUGAGAGGAGAGAGGAAAGAUUAAGAUCCAUUGGCACCUUGACAAAUGUAUCUUUUCCCUCAUUUCUAACUAUAUCCUGCUGCAGAGGGCUAUGGGAAUGCCCUCAUUCUUUAGUGUUCGAUUGUCUUUUGUAUAAACUAUAUGGUUUUGCCUUUUGGAAUUUGGCACCUUGAAACUAGAUGCAAAGAACAAUUUAUCUCUUGCCUGGAAAAAAAUAAGCAAAAAAUUCUGAAUGUUUCCUUAUCCAACAGAUCAGGAACACCCUUCUAUUUUCAUUUACUAGCCCUCCUGACAUAGUGCUAUGUACAAUUUAGACUAAGCAAAUGAUGAUGAUGAUGAUUCUUAGACUUAUCUAAUUAGAGAACAUUAGAACUAGAAGGGACCUUAAAGGUCAUGGUGCUUUGAACAUAGUAGCACUGUAACAAAUGGUUAUUUAAUGAAUUAACUAGUCUAACCUACUUAUUUUAUAGAUGAGGAAACUGAGACCCAAAGUCACAGUUUCUUAAAUACAGUUUGAGGGUUAAAAACUUUUAACUGGCUUCUAGGCCAGUGUUUUUUUCCAGUAUAUCCCAUUGCCUUCUUUAGACUUCAUUAGUGGAAGCAGUGAAUUUGUUAAUUUCCCCCACUUUCUAUGAUGUAUAUGGAUGACAGCUUUAUGUUUGUUUCCCAGAUUGCAUUUCAAGGAACUAAAAAAGAAUGUGAAACUUGAAUGAAGCAGGAUGGGUUAAAAGAAGAUCAGUUAUCCUUAUCUUUAUUCCCAAUCUCUACAGCCUGCAUUAGCCCAAGGGGACUUCCCUAAUUUUUCCCAAUUUUCCUUGCAGACACAAUAUUUAGUGGCUAAGUCAUUGUGGAGCUUUCAGAAGGUGUGGUAAUCAUUCUUGUUAAACCAGUUCAAAGUUGACUGGAGCCCCAACCCUUUAGCCCCUGCACAUGAUUGUAACUACUAUACUAAUCAAUGGGACUUUUGUGUGCAAAAGGGCAGAAGGAAAUUUUUGUGUUAGAGAAGCCUGCAUGGAAACUCCCUUGAUUUUUCUAGUGGCUGAGUAAGAAAACAUUAUACACAUAAAGCACUACACACAUUGUGGACUCUGCCUAAGCAUCAUUUAGCUAAAUUGAAGAAUUUAUUUUGUUGGGGGAAAAACAUAACCAGGUAUUUUUCUGAUAAUGACAAUUGUCAGCAGGCAUCAAAUACAAUAAUACUCAGUUUUCUCAGUAAAAUCCAGUAAUAUACUCAGAAAUGUCAUAUUCCUAAAAGAUUUGAGUCCACUUCUUUAGAUUAUUGUUUUAAAAAGAGACUUUACCAAAUAUGUAUAAGAUAAAAUUGUCUGAAAAAAUUGUAAUUGUCCCUUGUUCUAUUUUUUCAUUGCUAUUGAUGUUUUGAGUUUUAAAACCAAUCCACACCUCUCAAUCUUGCCAGACUUGGCUAAUGACAUUUUUUGAGGUAGCAUCAAAAAUAUAUUUUAUUCAAUCCAACUCUAGUGACUUGGCAAAUAUAAUUCCUUCUUGGUCUAUUGUCAUUGACUAUUUUUGUCUUUAUUUUGCAGUAUUUUUACACUUUUGAAUGAUAGACAAUAUAAGUACCUGAAGCUCAUAAACAAUUGCAGUUUUUUUGUCAUUGUAUUUCCAUCACCUAUUUUUUUUUGUACAAUAUUUGGCACAUAGUAUGAGCCUAGUAAAUAUUUUUUGACUCAUUGAUUGUAUCAUUUUUAGUCUUUGAUUCAAUUGAUACUUCCUAUCUAAUAUGGUACUUCUGACUUUACCUUUAUUUAACUUCAUUCAAAUUUGUAUCUUUUUCAUCUUCAAGAGAUCUCAAUUGCUGUUGAGUCAGUGACAGCAACUCUAUAGUUAGAGCUAUAACUAGUGUUCUUUAUAUCUGAGGCAAGCUGCAUGAAAAUUAUGCCUAAGUCAAUGUUUUAGGAGAAAUUAAUUCAUGGGAAGAGGGUGGAAACUGCUAUCCCCAGUCCCAUUUGCAGAGCAUAUGAAGCCAUCUUUCUGCAAAGAGAGGAGGAAUUCAUCUUUUGGAUAGUAGCUAGGGGGAAAUAGGGUAUGCCAUCUGAUAAUUUCCUAGGUUAACACAUUUUUCCUGAUAACUAGGUACUAAACUAAGCCAUUUCUUCAUGACCGAAGUAGUAUAUGUGCUAUUAGUGUUCUCUAAAUUUUGGUGCUUUUUGACAGAUCCUCGGCUACAUCACACCAGUUAUGGAUCAUUUAUAACUUCCAUCCUCCUUGUUUGGGCCACGUUCAGGCCAGAGAAUACUUCUAUGUGCUAUGAUCGUAGCAAUUGCAAUUUAUGUUCAUCCAAAUGAAACUGUUUCAAAAUUUCAAACUUAUUACUGACAUAAUGUAGUAUGAAGGCCUGCAUUUUUCUCUCAUAACUUUUUUGAAAAAUAAAUUGAAAUGAUUAAAAAAAAAACUCUUACCUUCCAUCUUAGAAUCAAUACUAUGUAUUCUAAGGCAGAAGGAGGGUAAGGACUAGGCAGUGUGGAUUAAGUGACUUGCUCAGGGUCACACAGCUAGGAAGUAUCUGAGGCCAGAUUUGAACCUAGGACCUCCCAUCUCUGGGCCUGACUCUCAAUCUACUGAGCUACCCGAUUGCCACCCAAAAUAAUUGUUUUAAGAAACCAGCCCCUAUUAAUGCCUUUAUUUCAUGUCUUUUUGUGACGGUGAGGUGAUUCAAGGUUCUUGAAGUUAAUGCCAGCAGAACACAUACUCUGAUUGGUUCAAAGAAAAUGUAAAGACUUUAAAUACAGGCCUGGUUACUGAUUUGUAUGUCUAUCAUGGAGGAUCAUCCUAGUUAAAGUCAGAGAAAAUCAUCACCAGGUUAGCUUUAUGGUGAUAGAAAUUUCAGCUCAACAACUCUUGAUGACUUGCCAGCAAGACAUAGGUUGUGGUUUGUGCCAGUGGAAAGAGUGGCCACAUCAAUAAAGUCAUAGGUCUUUACAGCAUGAAGGGAAAUCAUUGAUGAAACCAAUUGAGAUUAAUAGCAAGGCUGCCAUAUUGUAUGCAUGUAUUAAGUGAUUGGAUGAAACAUAUAUUUCUGUAGAAAGGAAGAAAGGAAACCAAAAGGAAGAUCCCAUAAUUAAGUAAGCUCUGAACAAUUUCACUCAUAGAUGACAUCUUGACUAUACAAUAACACUCCAUCAUGAAUAGACCUUCCUACAAGAUUGAAAAUUAUGUUGAAAAUAAUGAUCUGGCUUUUCUUCCCCUUUGUAUGUCACUGACAUUUACCUGAAGAUACAAUCUGAAGUAUUCAUUAACAAACAUAUCUCAGGCCACUGACAAUAUUCUCAAAAUGGAUCUUCUGGAUAUUCCCAAUGUUUAUUUGAAUGUUUUAGGAACAGUCUGAUAAUGGAGCAGAAUAUAACUAAGUGUUCUAUUUGUAGGUAGAUUUUUCUUUCAUUAAAAUGAAUUUAUAUUGUAUUUUAUUUUUACAACACUAUUCUUAAUUUUCACAUCAUCUUCAUUUGUGAAUAGAUCCUACCUCUAUCUUUUGCCAUAAAGAAUUGCAAUAACAGAAAGAGGGAAAAAAAGCCAUAAAACUAAUCAAUAUAUCAACCGAGAGUGAAAGAAGAUGUAAUGUUCCACACCCAAAGCACCCCAUUCCUGCAAAGAGAGGGAGAAAAAAGUACAUUUUCUCUUCUCUUUUUACAGGCAAGGGAAUGCGGUGAAGGGAAUAUGCAUCAAUAUAAUGCCUACGAUGUGUCAGGGACUGUACUAAGUGCUAUAUAAAUAUUAUGUCAUUUGAUCCUCACAAUAAUUCUGUGAGGUAGGUACUGUUAUUAUUCCAUUUUACAGCUGGAGAGUGAGUCAGAGGUUAAGUGAUUUCCCAGGGUCAUAGCUAGUCUUUGUCUAAGGCUGCAUUUGAACCUAGGUCUUCUUAGUUUGAUUCCAUCUCCCUACUCUAUCACCCAGCUGGUUAUAACCUGGUCAUUAUCAAUUUUCUCAGGAUUAAAGAAGGAAAUCCAAAAGGGUGACAGUAUCACAAGUAAAGUGUGCUAAAAAACUUUGAAGAUAGCAAUAGGAAAAUAGCAUAUUUAUCAUUGUGGUUUUCCAGUAUGAAAAUGUGCCUUAGUGCUUCAGACACUUAUUGCCUGUGUGACCCUGGACAAGUCACUUAACCUCUUUGCCUCAUCAAUAAAAUGGAGAUAAUAACAGCUCUUACCUUCCAGGAUUGUUGUGCUAUGAAAUGAGGUAACUUCUGUCAAGUGUUUAGCACAGUUCGUGGCAUAUAGUAGGAACUCUAUAGAUGUUAGCUUAUUUUUAUCAUUAAAUUAAGAUCUCACUAUAUCUGUCUAGUAGGGGUACCCAUAUACUUUUGAGGUAGUUGAAUUUAUAUCAGACUUUCUCUCCUCUUAUUUGAUUAAUUGUGCAGAUGACAUUAAAUGCUUUCUGGUAUCAAAAUGUUAAGAAACAGUCAAGGAAUUUUGAUUGUUUCUCUGUCUUUGAUUCACCUUCACUUUUCUGUUUUCUUGUCAAUAAUGCAUAGUUCUAGAUUCUUUGCAUGGUAUUACAAAGCACUGACUACAGUUAGGACUUAAAAAUCGAUCAAUAGUUAUGGAUAUUAAUCAUUGGAUUAGGAUGAGUCAUAGCACUGAGGCUAUGUAAAUUCCAAAUGCAUUUUGACAAGCUAGUGAGAUAGAUUUUCCUAGUACUCAAGGGAUUCUUUCUUUGUAAAUUGUAAAAAACCAAAUUUGUAAAAUUAAAAAAAAGUGUGCCACUUUUGGAAGUGGCACAAAACCAGGACAUGGUAUUAUUGAAUAAUAUGCUGAAAACAUAACUUAUUUUUGUUAUUGUCUUAAAACUAUCUUAUAAGAAAUGGUAACAGAGGUCAAGCACAGCACUCAGCACCAGUAUAGGCAGGAACUUUACAAGGUAACCGAAAGGGCCAAUUUUCUGUGUACCAUGCCAAAGACAGACUUUUAAAAGCCCCCAAAGAAACUAAAGUAUUUGCUUUUUAGCAAGUACUUAUCCUGACUAGGAUAACUGAGUAUCUUCUACCCACAUUCCAGGCACAACUCUAAUUUCUUCCAUUGUUCUGAAAAACGUGUUGAAGACAGAAUAAUAAUUUGGUUUGAAGUUUCUGAGACAGAGAGACCCGGAAGUGUUUGGGGACACUGUGUCUUUUCCUUGUAUUUGACAUUUGCAAGCUUUGCUACUAUUAGUCUGUGGUAUGACUUGAGAACUUCACUGAGACUACACAGGCACACAGAUUCUACAAUGUGCAAAAAAAUCAAAAGGACAGACUUACAAUAAUAACUUGUUGAGGUGGUUCCGAUAUUGAAGAACUAUAGGAAUGCUUUAUAGUUAGUGACUUCUGCAUGAUAUUUGCAUAGAGAGAACUUUAAAAAAGGUUACAUUUCUUUUUUACUUUCAUAUUUACUUAGUGUUAAGGUUAUAUGAUCUUGUUGGCAGCAUAGCUGGUGCUAUUUUAGUAAACUCCAAAUCCAUGUUCAAAUGUAGUAAGAUGGAAAUCUUGAACUACAGCAGCAAUAAAAUGCAUUUUCAUUUUCUUUUAACGUUAAAGCUUCAGGCUGCCUUGGAUGCAGUGAAGCUUGUUUUCUGCCACAACUCUCGAGUAAAGGAGGGAAGUUCUGUUUCCUAAUUCCAGAAAUUUUUUCCUCCUUUGGAUUAAAUGCAUUUCUGACCAUGUCAUAAGUACUAUUUAAGUGGUGGUGAGGAAAUGUCAAAUGGGUCUGGUUCUCCAUAAAAACCUUUAGUCAAUAACACAGCUUCUUUACUUUGUGUUAAAGAUAUAUGACUUCUGUCAGUCAAGGCUAUGAUCUGGUAGAUUUAUGAAAUACUAGUCUUGGCCAAUGAAGUGUGAAUUAUACAGGCAUAUAUAUAUAUAUAUAUAUAUGUGUAUGUGUGUGUGUGUGUGUGUGUGUGUGUGUGUGUGUGUGUGUGUAUAAUCUGAGACAUCUCCCAGAUUCAUCCUAAUAAUGUAUGCUACAAAGUUAGCUUAUAUGGAACUUUCGUAUAAAAGGAGCAAUUGCUCCCUCUCCAUUUUUCUUUUUUUCCACUUAAUACCCUUUUUAUAUUUAACUUUGAGAAGAUGCUAGAAGAAAUGAAAGACAAAUUAAUCAAUCAGUAGGUAUAUAUUGAAUGUACACUCAACAGAAAGUUUUUUAUAUGAGGAGGUAGAUAACACUACAAAUCAUUCCAUUUAAAUAGAUUUUUUGUUUGGGGUUUUUUUCAUCAUAUUUUUGGGGGGGUCAGCUUAACAUGGGAGAUAAGAUGAUUGUGCUUGAAAUCAGAAAGAUCUGAGUUCAAAUACCAUCUCGGAUGAUUAUUGGCUAUGAAAUAUCGCAAUAUCUAUGUGCCACAAUUUCUUCAUCUGUAGAAUGGGCUCCUCAUACAUAGAAGAACUCCUUCAUAAGGUUAUUGGGAGGACUAAAUGAUAUGAUGAAUAGAAAGCAUUUUGUAAACAUUAAAAUGAUAUAUAAAUUUCACUUAUUUUUAUAAGAGGUUGUUGUGGACAAAUCAUGGGGUAUAGAGUUAGAAAGACAUGGAUUUCAGUACCACCUUAGAUACAUUGUGAGAUCUUAGCCUUUCUCUGCCUCAGUUUCUUCAUCUGUAAAAUGAGGAACUAAUAGUACUCUUCUCUUAGGAAAAUUGUGAGGAUUGAAAGAAAUAAUAAAUUUGAAGUACUUUGCAAGCCUUAAGGCACUGAACUUUUAAUGUUUAAUUAUCAGCUUUUAUUGUUUUUGAAGCACCUAAUUAUUUAUACAGUCAUAGUGUGAUAUAAAAAGUUAAACGAUUGCUAACAUAUAGUCACUCUGGAAUUAAAAAAAGAAAUGACUGACACAUAUAAGCUAACUAUAUGUAGUUCAGAGAAGUGGACUUUGCAUCAAAAAAAGUGACACACAAUUUCUCCAUUAGAACUGGCAUCUUGUCUUCAGAGGCAGCAAGUGAACAGUGGCAAAUAUGCUGGGAGCAAGCCUCCGUCUGGUUCAUAAUAGGACUCCCUGAUGAAAUUUCCCAGAUCACAUAAGUGCUAGUCCUGCUUAUGUAGGCCUGCUAUAGAGGAAUUCCCAUAGCUCUCAGUCCAAUGGAGUCAGUUCAAUACAAUUAAUUCCACAGACAUGUACUGGGCAUCAGUUCUCUGCAAGACAAUGUACUAGGUGUUAAGGGGAACAUGACAAUGGAGAAGGCCUUGAUUUCAUGCUACUGACAAUCUAAUAAGGAGAAAGAGGUGAAUGAGAUAGGGGUACACAGAAUCAUAAGUAGAAUGAGUACCAGAGGCACAAAGUAAGAAAAGACUUCACAUUAAAUAGCUCAAGUAGAGUUCAAGUAGAAAUCUCAAACUAUUAGUCACUUCACCAGUGCUGCUAAGCAUCUGAAUGGACUGAUCAAUUUGACAAAAAAGUUACUUUGGGAUUAAUUCUACCAUGGUGAAUAUGUCUAUAGUCUCAGACUUCAUAAAUCUGGUGUACCAUUAGUUAGACAAUGGAACUUACUUCAUGAAUUGAUUCAUUCCUCCAAAGCAUGGCUUCUUAACCUUUAUUUAUUUAUUUAAUACUGUGUAUUGGUUCCAAGGCAGAAAAGUGAUAAGGGCUAGGCAAUGGAGGUUAAAUGACUUGCCCAGGAUCACAUAGCUGGGAACUGUCUCAGGCCAGAUUUGAACGUAGGAUCCCCCAUUUCUGGACCUGGCUUUCAAUCCACUGAUCCACCUAGGUGUCCCCUUAACCUUUUUUAUAUCAUGGAUUUCACUGGCAAUCUGUCUGUUAGAGUCUAUGGAUCCAUUUUCAGAAUAAAUGCAUAAAACAAAAUUAUUCUUGUUCAGUCAUGUCCAACUCUUUGUAACCCCAUUUCAGGUUUUCUUGGCAAACAUACUAGAGUGGGUUGCCAUGUCCUUCUUCAGCUCAUUUAUCAGAUGAGGAAACUGAGGAACACAAACAAGGGCAAGUGACUUACAGGGUUACAAAGCUAGUAAAUGCCCAUGGUCAGAUUUGAAUUUGUAUUUUCCUGAAUCCAGGUCCAGCACUCUAUCCACUGUACCACCUAGCUGCCCCAUGAAACAAAAUACAUGGGAUUCUUAAAAGAAACCAAUGUAUUAAAAUACAGCUGCCAAAAUUUUUUUAUUUUAAUCAUAAAAAUUUUAAAGCUUACAACCCCUAGAUUAAGAACUCUUGCUCCCCACUAUGUACUUGGUCAUCCAGUAAUCCUGGUGUCCUUGCUACUUCUCUCACAGGAUACUCCAUAUCCCCCAGGGAACAUUUUUACUGAUUGCCCUCAUGCUUAAAAUGCUUUCGUAUAUCAUCUCUACCUUAUGAAUUCUCUACUUUCCCAACUUAGCUACAACCCCACCUUUUGGGAGACACCUUUUCCAAUCCUCCUUAAUCUUAAUGACUCCCUUCUCAGACCACUCACCCCAGCCUCUACAACAUCCCCUCAACUAAAUUUAUCUCCUCAUAGAUCUUGUUUGCUAAUAGUAAUUUACACAUUUUCUCCCUCAUUAGACUGAUUUCUACAGUUAGGAACUGCUUUUUGCUCCCCCCCCCCCCCCACAUUGGUAUUGCCAGGCCUUAACAGUGCUGGGCACAUAUUAGACAUUUAAUAAAUAUCAGUUUUCUGACUGAUUGACUGUAAAAAAAUCUUUGUACCUCCCUGCUCAGAGUCAUGACAAGAAUAUUAUACAUUAGAUCCUCAAAUAUCUAAUAAUCACAUUUUACAUGUACAGUGCCAUGCUCAAUUGAAUAUUUGGUUAUGCCUAUGAAAUAUGUUGAUAUCUUCCUAGUAAAGGAGGAAUGAUGAGAACUGUAACUUGAGUGCUAUUACAGUAUAUAUACAAAUUCCUUUACACUUGUACAAAGUAGCUUGUAGUAUUAGCUCUGCCACUGACCAAUUAUAUGAUUUUGGUCAAAUGUUUCACCAUUCUAGGCCUUAGUUCUCUCGUUCAUAUAAUAAAAACCAAUGUUUAUACAGUGUUUUAACAUUUGCAAGUGCAUUGUAUACAUGUUAUCUCAUUGGGGCCUUAAACAACUUUGUGAGGUAGGCACUAAAGCUAUUAACAGGAAACAGAUUUGAGAAGCAUUGUGACUUUCUCAUGAUCACACAUAUACACACUGCACAUGCGUAUGCACACGUGCACACGCACACACACACACACACACACAAGGUAUUAGAAACCAUUCGAUCAAAAACACAUUUAAAGUACCUAUUACAUUAUGCUGAGAUUUGAAUGCAGUUCUCCUAAAUUCCAGAGUCAGAACUUUAUGUUCUAUGCCAUGAUUCUUAAAUUCUCUAACUGCUAUGCUUUUAUCUUUAUCUCUGUUUUUCCACUUGUACAUAGUGAAGGGUAGGCAGUUCUAAGUAUACAAAAAGCAUUUCAAUGAAUAUGUUACAAUCUGUGUAAUUCAAAGGAAUACAGGGCUUGGAAUCUUUUAAUAUGGAUAAUAAUCCCUUACAUUUACUUAGCUCUUUAAGGUUUUCAGAGCUUUCCCUACAUUUUAUCAUUUCAUCUUUAUAAUUUCUCUGUGAGGUAUAGGUUAUUUUUUAAAAAAACUUUAUACAUGAAGAACUGAGGGAAAAAUGUGGAAUGACUUGUCCAGGGUCAUAUAGCUACUAAGUAUCACUGGCAGGAUUCAAACUCACAACUUUCUCACUCCAAAUCUACUUCUUUAGCCGCUUCCUACUAUGCCUCUCUAACUCCUAUUGAUCAACACCUUCUCUGAAGCAAGGAAUAAAGAGUCCUUUAAAUGACUCUAAGUUUUUAAAUUUUGUGUAUCAUGAUAUACUUGACUGGCAAUGGAAGCUUAUGAAAUUAAGGGCAAAUGAGAGAAUAUCUGCAAAUGAAAGGGAAUAAUAAGUUCUGAAACAAGAGUAAUCUUCCUAUCUGUAUUGUGUCAAUUAUGAAAAACAAUAAUAGUAAUAAAACCCACCCAGAAUUUGUUCAGCCCUCAAUGACCACAUCCUCUAUUUUAUACAUAAACUGUUUCUAUAUUCAAAGGCUUUUAAACAACUUUGAUUAAUUGUCGUUUGCUAAUAUGUUCUCAAAUAAUUACUACAAAGCCUUUAUUAAAUAAGCAGAACUGCCUUUAGUCUUUGUGAAUAUCUCCUGGUUUAAUAUUCAUCUCUUUUCUUUUUUGCAAUUUUGGGAAUGAUGGAGAUCAAGCUUAUGCUUUGAAUAGUCCAAAUUCAUACACCUGGGGGAAAAAGAUAGGAAUUCUGUCUUCCUUGUCCAGCAACCACUUUUACCCACUAUAGGAGCAUAGCAGAAGGGCUCUCUUCUCAGACUGGUAAGAUGAAACUAUUCUUAGGUCUAUGAAUGAUUGCAGCUGGUUUUGAGAACUAAUAAUAUGUUUUAUUGUAUUUUUUCCACAAGUUUUUCAAAUGGUAACCUUAACCUAAAACAUCAAUGAAUGGAAAUUAAAUCCUUUGGAAGCUUACCCAGCAUUUGGUGAAAUAAAAGGGAAAAAAUAAUUUUAAAUGCAUAAUAUAGAAGUAUUGGGGAUGGUAUGUUGGUCCAGAAGGGAAGUAUAAGGCAGAAAAACAGCAAGAGCUGGGCAGUGGUGAAGUGACUUGCCCAGGAUCACACAACUACAAAGUAUCUGAGGCCAGAUUUGAAUCUAGUACUUCUGUCUCUAGGCCUGGCCUUUAAUUUACUGAGCCACCUAGGUGCCACCUCUAUUACUAAAUCUUUAAAGGACUUAACUUUAUUUCUGCUUUUACUUAAAGAGGAGAGUCUUAUAUUGGCCAUGGGAAAUGUACCCAAGUCAGCGACUACAGACUUUUCUUUACUGACCAUUUUUUACAGACAAAACAGCAACAAUUUAUACCAAAUGAGUAAGGGAAGAGGCAAAUGGAAAGAUACAGUGGAUGAUAAAAAGAUAACACUUUACUGUAACAGAUGCUUCAUUUUAUGAUGGAAGUGGGGAAGUCGAAUGCUGCAGGUGCUGGGCUGACAUUAGCUCUGUGGAGAAUCAUUAGAGCCUCCUCAGAGAUCUAGGUUUACUCUGUGUUUAAUCAGCCACAGUCAGAAGAAAUGGCUUCAUUUCAGCUUGAUGAGAGCCAGAUUACAAAAGGAAGAUAGAUGGCCAAUAAGGUUCAUCACUAUAAGCAUAUUGUCUUAAUUUGAAGGAACAGCCUGGCAUCUUGUGCUAAGGAAGAAGUAAAAUGCAAUCUGACUACUAUCAAGACCCAGUUAUUCUAAGUCUCAGUGUACCCUGUAAUAAAAAGUGCUCAUGUGUUCUUUUAAUUAAUAUUUUAUGAAAACUGUGAACUACACAGUGCUAGCCAAGGCACUUAAGAGAUCUCACUGUUUCAGGUUAAGGGCAGUGGAGCUGCCCAACUUAAAAUCUUGAUUUUUUUUUUUUCCCAUCAGAGGCAUUUUAGAAAAGGGCGGAUCUAAAUAUCUAAAAACAUUUACGAAGUUUGGCUGUCCUGUAAAUGUGCUUGACUUUUCUUGUUCUCUCUCUCUGUCUUUCCAUGCAAUUUGGUUGAAUUUGUUCUUUCCCUUUUCCCCUUGAUUAGGGAGCCUCUUGUUUUCAGUAGCUUCUUUGCUGUUUUCCUUUUGUCAUUAAAUUCUCUGGGUCUUGAAAAUUCCCAUGGGACAUAAAGUAUACAUUCACUUUAGGCCUAACUGGGUUUUCUGGUUUUCCCAAAACAUCAGAAAAAUGAUUUUCAGCUUUUGGAGGAGCAAUAAGAUACAUUUGAUCUCAGUAUCUUUGCCAGACACCUCUUACUUGAACUAAGAGCAGAUAAUGACUAGUUUGGGUAAUUACAAACAAGUGGAUGUUUCUAAACAAUUUGCUAUGUGUCACAUCCAUGUUUUCAGUCAAUCCCUUGAGGCCCCGCACAAAGAGCUCUGACUUUCCCCCCAAUAACUAUUUUCCAGAUGCACUGAAACAACAUCAAGUGACCCAGUUCCCCCCUGAGAGGUUUAUAAAGGAGCAUUUAUAGAGAGACUUACUGAGUGAGACAGAGAUUCUUGCCUGGCAGCUUAGUCCUAGAUAAUCUCACAUGAACACAGUAUUGAAUCUUACUUUUCCUAAGGCAUAUUGAGUACGAUUUUUAGAAAACGAUAUGCUAAACACUCCUGAAGUGGAGAAGAGAUUUAAGCAGCUUAACAAUUGGUAGAAAUAUUAUCAUCCUCCAUCAGGGUAAUAGUAUCCAGUCAUUCCCCACCCACAGGCACUCAUGCAGGCAGACUCGAUUUAGGCUUAAGAAGGUACAAACAACUUUCUGGAAGUGUGUGGUCCUGAAAGCAUUUAAGCAUUUCCAACUCAGGUGAACUGAUUUAUCUUUUGCAUAUAAUCUAAACAUUAGCCACCUGGUUUGAGGGCUGAAUAGAAUAAAAACCAAAACACAAUCUCACUAAUAAUAAUAGUGAAUGUGCUGUUAAGAAACAUUCCAAACUUUGCCUACACAACAGACCUUUAUGCAGAUGCAAAGGAAAGGGGGAAUAAAAGAGAAAAACCCAUCAUUUCUAGAUACAAGGCAUCUCCGCUAUUUAUAAGGAUACAAACCCUCACCAAUUUCAUCCCUGGGAUCUCGGAUUUGAACCCAUUUCUUUUGCCUAGGUCAUAGAGGCAUGAUGUUUCUAGAGGGAAACAACAUGUGGCCUUAUAUUCAUCCAUACUAAAAGGGUUACCAGGUCCUACCAAUGAUGGGCAUCAGGCAUCAUGUUGAAAUCUGGCAAGAUGGUUGCAUAAUUCAUCCACAACACAUCUGCUAUGUGUGGACAGCAUUCAGUAGAAUAGAUUUCCCCCCAACACACACACACACAACAAGCAACAUGCCAAAGUCUUGAUGUGAAAAGUACUUAAUGUUCUACAGUGUGUCAAUCACUUGAUGGUUGCCAGUGCGAAAUGAACAUCCUUUACAGGAUGGCUUCCAUUAUUACUGGCACUAAAACCUACUGAAAUAAUCCUGUUGAGGUGAAACACAUGAAAGAAAAUGUGAACACAUGUGAGAGGCUCUUCCUCAUUACAUAUCUUGGACUACUUAGCAGUGAUGCUCUCUUUAGCAGCCCAUUACACAUGGAGAAUGUUCCACUUCUAACAUCACUGCCUAAUGGAUCAAACUUUUACACAGUUAAGAAAUACAAAUCUCUCUUUUGCUGCGAAAGCUCAGAAGUAAUACCAGUAAGAAUAUUUUCUCUGGCCCAAAUUUUGGAAUUCAUUAUAUCUGUAAUUUUGGAGGAUCAUUUAAAUGGAUUAAAAUGAGGCUUCCCACAAAAAAUAUGACUCAAAAGAGCAUGCAAUCUGGCAGUUCCAAUGAUGAAUGCAGAUUCUUCUCUUGACUGUGGUGGUAGUAGGGUAAUAGUCCAAAAUCCAUAUACUACAUGUUACUCUUAAAUCCUGCAAAUUAUCUGCUUAUGGUUAAAAGCACGAGUUUCAUUACCCUUAUCUUAACAUCAAUAACCACCAAUGUUGUUAUUGGUCACAAAAUUAUCCACUUCCGCCGAUUUCCAAUCCACUGACAAUUUUGGGGUAGUUUGAAUUAAGUGGAGUGGACAAGGGGAAAUAGUCUAUUUCCUCUGCCUCUUGUGCAGUUAAUCUCCAAUUCUAGAUAUUGCUACAUCAUCCCUUCCAAAGAAAUCUUUAUUUUGAGGUUAAAGAAUACUGCCAAGAAAGAUGUUAUACGUUUUGUUUUAAGAAUGCUUCAAUCCAAAGAUAAAAUAAAAAAAAAAGUUUUCCUCGGUUAGAAGAGGCUUUAUUUUUCUCUACAUAUUACUCAGUUUCACCAGCUAACACAAUAUAUUUCUAAUCUAUAUGGGCGACAAGAAUAUUGAAUGUGUGUGCAAACAAAGCUAUCAGGUAGGUAAUAAAGUACUGAAUGUGAGGCAGGGCUUAACCAAGGUCAACCUGACACCAGGUUCUUUACCUUUUGUUCAACACUCUGAGCACUUAUCUCCACCCUCCUUUCCCUCCCCCCCAAAAAGUAACUCAACUAUUGACAAUUCCAGAUUUUGCUUAAGCCUGCUCCUGAUAGCUGAGUGAGUAAACUUAUUGCCAGGAGUCUUCUGAUGAUCUGGUUCACUCCAGAAGUUGCACUUCGGCUCCAGCAUUUCAUUAUUGAGUUUGUUCAUGUUCAUUUGGAGACCUCAAAUUGUGCUACCUCUCCUCCCAUGAAACUCUUGGACUACUUAAGUAGUUGUGCUAGCCUUUAGAAAUGAAUCACUAGCUUUAUCAACAUGAAAAAGGACCUUCUGAACAAUAGAUUUAUUUCAGUAAGGGUUUUAUUUGGUGCAAUUUAAACUAUUAAAAUAUAACUUCUGGGGCAAAUAUUUCCAAAAGGAGAUGUUCACAAGCAUAUGAAGAAAAAAACCCCUAAGGUAGAUGCUAAAAUGAUACCAAGAUUUUGGAAUCAUUAUUUUUUUGGUAGAAACACCCAGAUUUUUUCCUGCUUUAAUGGAAGAAGACUACCAUAAGGAUACAUCAGUAUAUAUAGCCUCUCUUAUGGGUACAGCACUAGUGUAUAUAGAAGAUCACAUAGGCUGCAAGGCAGGGGGAAGGGGUAGAUGUAACCCCUAUGACUGUAAUAGUCAUUUUAGGAAAAUUGGAGCACUUUCCCCCUCGCCUUCAGCAAAUGGCAGUGCUUUGGGAAAUAGAACUUUUUCCUUUUUAAGCUCCUAUCUAGAGAAUAAUUAUGAUGACUUAGUUUUUUUUCUUUUCUUUGCAAUGGCUUAUGUUGACAGGCAUCUGUGAACAUCCUCCUGAGAGUCAGAAAGGUACCUAAGAGAAGAGUGAGUCAUGAGCCUCUGAAGGAAAUCCAGGUUGGCACAUUGCACCUCUAUGCUCUUCCCCCUGGGCCAUAAGCUCAACAGGAACAUGAGAUUCAUGUAAGCAAAGUUUGAUAAGAAUGUGAAGGCCUCCACACUUGAAAACACUUGUGUGUUGACACGACUACUAACCUUCCAAAGAUAUUAAAGAGGGAGAUUUUAGUUUUAAGUCAAUCACUUUGGCUACAGCUGCCACUUUAGUUUUUAACAUCUCUAUUUCUUUUUCUAGUCCAGUUAAGUGUUACCUUAUUUCUUUGCUAGGAACAAGGGAAACAGGACUAGUAAUUUAUGGCUCCUAUUAAUAUGGUAGGCUGGAUGUGUUGACAAUACGUCGAUAAUUAUAUCUGGCAGGACCCUAACAGCAGGGUAAGGGUCUCCAUCGAAUGACUUAUUUUAACACAAGACAGAUAUGCCUGACCUGAGUUUUAUGACAGAUGUCAAAUAUAUCGAAGUGUGGUGUGAAGAAGAUCAUCUUAUUGGCAAAGUAAUGAAAGACCACUGGAAAGAUUAAUGUUAACUCUGAUUCCUGUUGUUUCUUGUUUCUUUCUGCAGGUGUUAGAGUAAAUAUAAGGUUCUCUGCUCUGGGCUGAUGGUGAUUUGGAAGUGAAGACAUAGGUAAAUACUCUCAGUUACUAUAAAAGCCACAUUUCCUUGUGGGUUUGAAAAAUGCCACCAAAAAAGCAGAGGCUGGUAAGGAGGGAGCAAAGAAGACAGGAUGCUUCUUUACUUAUAUCCCAAGAUGUUUCCAUCAGUAGUAGCAUAGGUUUGAUUAGAGUGUGGCAUCAUCUUUUUUUCAAAGUGAUUACUUAAUUCCUUAAAAAUAAUUAGAGGGUUCUAAUGAAAAAAAAAAUUCACUGUUGCACAAAUAUAUUUUCCUUCUAAACAAAAGCCUUUCUUCCUUUCACUCAAUCAAUGAAAAACUCACAAGAAUUCAUUCAUUCUGUGUUCCACAGCAGGCAUAAACUGUUUAAAAUAAUCAGAACCAAAGAGAAUGUACAUUUCCAGAGAAUAAAGUGAAAACACAGUUCAGGACAAUGACACCUGCAAAUGGAAAGCUAUAUGGUUAAGGAAAAGCAAUGACUUCUUAUAAUGUGACCUUCUAUCAAAAGGCUAGGAUAAGAGAGAGGGAGAGAAUAAUGUUUUCAGAAUUAUUUUCAAGGACAAUUAGUAAUGGUAGGGAACAGAUUUUGAUUUUUUCUCAUUUUCCUUUAAAAUUUCAUUCUCUGUGAUUAUUCUUGUAGAAAGUUUGAGGUCCUUUAAAAAUGCUUCAAAAGUGGAAAAGACACCUACUUUACCUUUGUCCUCUCUUAUUUGUUUAUUUGUAUGGAGUUCUCUUAGUGAGUUAGGGAUAUGAAGGAAGGACUCAACCUUUGUGAUUCAGAGCCUGUUUACUUCUAUUAGGCCAGCAAAUCUUCUUUCUUUCCUAGCUCUACAGUACUUUUGUACUCACAGAGAGGACCUGCCUUCAGAAAAGGGAAAUGGGACGUGAAAUGUUUUCCUAGGUUCAGUGCUCUUAAACAGCAGCUUAGGUGGUUAAAUGCUGCUUCUGUGAGAGAGUAAGCACAGGUGUCCCUAUAAGGAAAAAAGAGGGGAUCUGUUUUUAUACAAAAGGGCAUGUUUGAAAUAUGAACCAAAAAAGGAAUUGCUUUUUGCAACAGGCCCCAGCUUUUACUGAGGUCUUGAGGAUUGGUUAUUCCUUUAGGGAGCAGACGGGUCAUUGUGUACAUGUUAUCUUUUAAACCAGUUCUGUAUGCCAGAGGUCAAAAAAGAGGAAAUUUGUCUUCAGAAAAUUUAUGAUCUUUUAUUAAUCAGAGAUAAGAGCAAAUAAUUUUGCUAAUAAGCAAAUAUUUCAUAGACUCAUAGUUUUUGCAUUCUUCUUGAAUACCCCCUCUGCUUUAUUUGCCUCUGAAUUUUUGUGCAUGCUCUGCAAAAAGGAAAAUUCAUAUUUCUUGAAAUAAAAGGAGAAAACUCAGGUUCAGCUCUUUGAAAAUAAACUUCAGGAUGCCAUAUAUGUAUGUGUUUUCCACAUUUAAGAAAAUAAUACUUCCUAUUCUAUCCUCUACUUUAAAAUUGACUGAUUAUGAUCAGAAGAAUAAACUUGCAUAUAUAUACAUCUAUCUGUAUGUUAUAUAUACAUUAUAUGGACAUAUACAUGGGUACAUAUAAGUAUAUGCAUGAAUAUAUGAGUAUAUGAUAAACACACAGGCACUAUCAGGGAAAAUUCCCUGAUAUUUAAGUUACCAAAGCUUAAAACUUCAGUAUAAAUUAUAUGUGUUUAUGUUAGAACAUAUAUAAAUGCAUACAUAUUACACAUGCACACAUGUCCAUUAACAUAUACAUACAUGUGUAUUAUACAUCCAUGCACAUCCAUACAGACAGAUACACACAAAGUUGAUUUUUGGAAAUAAUGCAUUUAUUGUUCCUACACUAUAUUUUCUCUACUAAAGUCUUCCUCUGAAGACUAUGUGCCUUCAUCCUGACAAGGAGAUGACUUUGAGUUUUCAAGUCAAAGAUUAUAUAUACAAUAGAAAAUUCAACUGAGCUGGACAGCUCUAAAUCCAGGUCAUUAUGGAUAGUUGGCAUUUAUAUAUUAAUUUAAGCUUUAGAAAGCAUUUAAAAUACAAUAUUUACUUUAGCUUCCCAAUGACAUUAUGAGGUAGAAUCAUAGGAUUGAUGAUUCAAACUGGUAGGAAACUUAAAGAUAAUCAAGUCCAACUUUUUCAUAUGAGAAAAUUGAGGUUUCAAGAGGUUAAAUGUCUGACUCAAGGUCAUACAGCUAGCAAGCAAGAGUCACAAGUGAGAUUUGAAUCUAUACCUUCCUGACUUCAUGUCUAGCACUCUGUUUCCUGUACAUUUUAGUUCUCAAC